AUGGUUAUAUUUCUCCAUACAUGUUGUCAUUUAAAUGUUGUUUUUCUUCUCUUCUCAAAGAUCUUCAGUUUAGAUCUUGGAGGCAUAUCAACUGUGGUUCUAAAUGGCUAUGAUGUAGUAAAGGAAUGCCUUGUUCAUCAAAGUGAAAUUUUUGCAGACAGACCAUGCCUUCCUUUAUUCAUGAAGAUGACAAAAAUGGGAGGCUUACUCAAUUCCAGAUAUGGCCGAGGAUGGGUCGAUCACAGACGAUUAGCUGUAAACAGUUUUCGAUAUUUUGGAUAUGGCCAAAAGUCUUUUGAAUCUAAAAUCUUGGAAGAAACCAAAUUUUUCAAUGAUGCUAUUGAAACGUACAAAGGUAGACCUUUUGACUUUAAACAGUUAAUAACGAAUGCUGUUUCAAACAUAACCAAUCUGAUCAUUUUUGGAGAACGAUUCACUUAUGAAGACACCGAUUUUCAGCACAUGAUUGAGUUAUUUAGUGAAAAUGUGGAACUAGCUGCCAGUGCCUCAGUCUUCUUGUAUAAUGCCUUUCCAUGGAUUGGCAUCCUGCCUUUUGGAAAACAUCAACAGCUGUUUAGAAAUGCAGCCGUAGUCUAUGAUUUUCUCUCCAGACUCAUUGAAAAAGCUUCAGUCA
RNAcentral lists this small RNA (634 nucleotides) under Pan troglodytes (chimpanzee). RNAcentral's name for it is "processed transcript". The record is from RNAcentral. Lineage: Eukaryota; Metazoa; Chordata; Mammalia; Primates; Hominidae.